CCUGUAUUCCCGCCCUUACACAGCGGUGACCUUUAACUUUUGAAGGGGUGAAAGGUCAAUCAUCCUUCUAACGGCAACAGAAAAUAGAAGAAGAAAAUAUGAUGCUCAAACGGAUGACGCUGAUGGACGUCUCAAAACCCCAACAAUGGUGUCUGCACGACUACAUCGCAAAAAGUCAGUAAGGCCUCCAGACGGACUCAUCCAAGCGGCCCGAGGCACUCAUGGCCGUGGGGGAGUUGCUGUGGCUGCCGUCAGCCUCCACGCCGUCGCUCUGGGUGUUCAGGCCCGGAUUCAUCAGGCUGUUGGUCCCUCCAGUGCCCGUGGCCCCUGAGCAGGACAGCAGGCGAGUGGGGGAGCGCUCACCCCCAGAGUUUCCAGGUGCUACCAUGGAAAACUGAUAGGAUCCAGAGCCUGUGCCAUAAUACAGAGCGGCGGAUUCGCGUUGGGCUUUGAGGUGCGCAGAGGCAUCGCAUCAUGGCAGCCGAGCAGCUGGAGGGCGAAGCGCUGCAGCCUCACAUAAAAGAACCCAUAAAGCCGAGACCUCAGUUACCCCAAAUGCCCCAGAGCUCAACACACGUGCACAGAUCAGCCCCAGCCAGACCAGAAUAGAGCCGACCAUGGGCCUGCCACAAACCCAACCGAUCCCAGUGACCUCGGUGCAUCAUCGGGAUCUGAGCUCACACAGAUAAUGGAAACACGCUUCCUGUUUCAGUUUGUAUUUGUCCCUGCCGGGGAAGAAAUCCAUCAGUCGUCCCCCAGCCUGAUGCAGAACCACAAGGCUCUGGCCUGCCACCGCUGCCUGAGAGCUCCGUGGUGACUGGAGCCAGACCACUCUGCGCCCACCGCUGACCAGCCGGCUAACCACACACUCCACCGCUUCCAGCACACACACCUCUGCUUCCGGGCGGGAUGAGGGACUCUGGCCAUCAGUCGAGUGACAGCUGCCGCCCUGACCCCGGACUGACCCGCAUGCAGCACAGGCAGGGCCAUUUUACAAUCACAGCCUUUUACUGCCUCUACGUUUAGUUAUUUGACCUAAUGUUCAAAUGCUCUUUGUGCAUCUGAAUUUGAAACUAAAAACAUCACGGGUGCAAGUCCCGUAGUGAGAAUAUGCAAAUAAAUCGCUCCACUUCAUGCAAAUGCGCAGAUGCACUCUGUACUUGACGUAUUGUCCCAAACCUCAAGAGGACCGGCUGAGGAGUGUGUGAAAUGAUGCUUUUUGCUCACACUCUGCAUCUCUGCGGUUAAUCAUUGUAUUCAGACCUCCUGUAGUUUUGUCUGCUAAUCCUGAAACAACCCAGCUGCAUCUGUACAGUCACGGGCUUUGCAUGUGAGGACAAACAAAGAGUAAAAGCAAGGACAGAUUCCCAUUCUACCGCCCGCCAGCUUUGGCCCCAGUAGCAGCUGAAGAGGCAGCGAGAGCAGCGAGAAGCAAGGGGGGCCGCCUGUGUGGUCCUUCCUGAGAGCGUGUUCUGUUUAACUCUUGCCAAAGUGUUUUCAAGUGCUACAAGUGCAUUAAUGCCACGGGUCACGCCUCUGCUUGGGUAACCUCUGACCCCACCCCCCGGCCUCCACCCCGGCUUCAGGCGACGCAGUGAGCUCAUGCUGAGGGGUCAUUCCUCCGCGGCUGCAGAGACGAGGACCGGCCGGCCCGUAAUGAGCUCCUCAUGGAUCUUUAAUGGCUGCUCUCCGUUAGUGUUAGUGUUCGCGCUGGGGGAGAAGGAGGGGGGGGUGU
Molecule: long non-coding RNA, 1735 nt
Organism: Betta splendens (Siamese fighting fish)
Lineage: Eukaryota; Metazoa; Chordata; Actinopteri; Anabantiformes; Osphronemidae
Exons: 6
Source: RefSeq, a predicted model, not a curated record